GCCCCUGUGGCGUAGCGGUAACGCUACAGCUUAACACGCAGGAGGCCCGGGUUUGAUUCCCGGCAGGGGACU
This is a non-coding RNA of Schistocerca serialis cubense, 72 nucleotides long. The record is from the annotation of a RefSeq genome assembly. NCBI's taxonomy places the organism in Eukaryota, Metazoa, Arthropoda, Insecta, Orthoptera, Acrididae.